RNAcentral lists this ribosomal RNA (443 nucleotides) under uncultured bacterium. RNAcentral describes it as "partial 16S ribosomal RNA". It matches the Rfam family "Bacterial small subunit ribosomal RNA", at positions 338 to 795 of the family's 1533-position model. The record is from RNAcentral.
ACUACGGGGGGCAGCAGUGGGGAAUAUUGGGCAAUGGGCGCAAGCCUGACCCAGCAACGCCGCGUGAAGGAAGAAGGCUUUCGGGUUGUAAACUUCUUUUCUCAGGGACGAAGAAAGUGACGGUACCUGAGGAAUAAGCCACGGCUAACUACGUGCCAGCAGCCGCGGUAAUACGUAGGUGGCAAGCGUUAUCCGGAUUUAUUGGGUGUAAAGGGCGUGUAGGCGGGAGCGCAAGUCAGAUGUGAAAACUCAGGGCUCAACCCUGAGCCUGCAUUUGAAACUGUGUUUCUUGAGUGCUGGAGAGGCAAUCGGAAUUCCGUGUGUAGCGGUGAAAUGCGUAGAUAUACGGAGGAACACCAGUGGCGAAGGCGGAUUGCUGGACAGUAACUGACGCUGAGGCGCGAAAGCGUGGGGAGCAAACAGGAUUAGAUACCCCAGUAGUC